UUCUGAAUAGUGUCAGAGCUGGAAAACUACUGGGGAGAAGGCUCGGGCUGGCCAAACGUCCUCCCCAGAGCCUGUCCUGCACUGCACAACACUCAGUGUUGGCUCAGUCUAGAAGAAAGGUCAGGAUCGAGGCUGUCUGGCAUGAGCUAUGCAUGAGAAGGCAUUCUGGAUCGUGGCCCUUUAGAACAGGAGGAGCAUUUUAAAUGACAUUACCUCAUAACCCAGUAGCCUUCCACUACUCAUCUUCCAGGGAAUGGCUUUCCAGGAGACUUCGAUGACAGAGGAGGACAGGCUUGUCACGGACACACCAGAGGGGGCUACGACACCAACUUUGACUUCAUAUGGUGAAAACGGCAGGAUGCUUUCGUUCCUGAAGACGUAUCUGGGUGUGUCAGGAGAGGUGACUACAGUCUGUAUCCAUGUUGUGGUGCCAAAGGGGCGAAAAGCGACGACAUAUCCAAACCCUUCUCCAUUCUGUAACUCCUCGGGGAUGGGCUGUGAGAAAAGCAAUCAGUGACUGAAGCCUGUGAUGUUACGUACUGCACUGGAAAAGCUUUGAAGGAGCAAAGCAUCACUGUGAAUGUAUUGCAUGCAGCUGAAACUUGUUCUGGUCUGCAUUUGGGAUCACUGCAUCAACAAAUAAACUCUGGUACAGUAGAGUGAAAUGCUUUCAUUUGAAACUAUCUGCACAUCAAAAACAGAGCAACUCCCACAUACAUUUCUUGCUCUCCAGUAAGUACACUGCCUUAAGACACUUCAGUAAACAUAUUUUUUCAAUUUCUGGUCACAAUUCAUAGUACAUAAAUAAUAUCAGAGAAUUCAGUACUACCUCCUGUACAGUGUCUGCACCUUCCCCGGA
This 859-nucleotide long non-coding RNA is filed under the name Gallus gallus (chicken). RNAcentral's name for it is "long non-coding RNA NONGGAT002235". The record is from RNAcentral. Lineage: Eukaryota; Metazoa; Chordata; Aves; Galliformes; Phasianidae.